GUAGCAGGUUAGGAGAACUAAUGUAGCAGGUUAGGAUAAUUAAGGUAGCAGGUUAGGAGAACUAAUGUAGCAGGUUAGGAUAAUUAAGGUAGCAGGUUAGGAGAACUAAUGUAGCAGGUUAGGAUAAUUAAGGUAGCAGGUUAGGAGAACUAAUGUAGCAGGUUAGGAUAAUUAAGGUAGCAGGUUAGGAGAACUAAUGUAGCAGGUUAGGAUAAUUAAGGUAGCAGGUUAGGAGAACUAAUGUAGCAGGUUAGGAUAAUUAAGGUAGCAGGUUAGGAGAACUAAUGUAGCAGGUUAGGAUAAUUAAGGUAGCAGGUUAGGAGAACUAAUGUAGCAGGUUAGGAUAAUUAAGGUAGCAGGUUAGGAGAACUAAUGUAGCAGGUUAGGAUAAUUAAGGUAGCAGGUUAGGAGAACUAAUGUAGCAGGUUAGGAUAAUUAAGGUAGCAGGUUAGGAGAACUAAUGUAGCAGGUUAGGAUAAUUAAGGUAGCAG
This is a long non-coding RNA of Oncorhynchus keta (chum salmon), 491 nucleotides long. RefSeq lists it as uncharacterized. The transcript has 4 exons. The record is from RefSeq and is a predicted model, not a curated record. NCBI's taxonomy places the organism in Eukaryota, Metazoa, Chordata, Actinopteri, Salmoniformes, Salmonidae.